CUGCUUAUGGUGUAAUGAAGAACACAACUGGUUUCUACCCAGUAGAGUGAGAGUUUGAAUCUUUCUAAGCAGGCCA
RNAcentral lists this transfer RNA (76 nucleotides) under Bacilli bacterium. RNAcentral's name for it is "tRNA-Arg". It matches the Rfam family "tRNA". From Rfam's summary of the family: Transfer RNA (tRNA) molecules are approximately 80 nucleotides in length. Their secondary structure includes four short double-helical elements and three loops (D, anti-codon, and T loops). Lineage: Bacteria; Bacillati; Bacillota; Bacilli. The record is from RNAcentral.